This is a long non-coding RNA of Planococcus citri (citrus mealybug), 1295 nucleotides long. RefSeq lists it as uncharacterized. The record is from RefSeq and is a predicted model, not a curated record. The transcript is spliced from 6 exons. NCBI's taxonomy places the organism in Eukaryota, Metazoa, Arthropoda, Insecta, Hemiptera, Pseudococcidae.
UAAGGAAAUUGUACGGUGGGCAGCAUAGAUUGGGCAGACUGGAUCAGCAAAGCAGCUUCAUGGAUCGUAUUCCUUGUUUCGGUAGCUAAACGAAAUCUCGAUUCUUCGUUCCUAUAAUAACACAACUACUCAAACCAGCUUGAGAGAAUACAGAUGCUGACUCGGUUAAUUUGAUCGUAUCUUGCCAGGCUAAUUCGCUGCUGUACAAAGCAUCUCGAUAAUUUCGUAAACGAUUCAACUCCGAUUCUAUUUCCGAAGCGUACGAUGAUCCUAUCACUUCGCCUGAUGAAGAAUGAAAUCAUUUAUAGAGAUACAUAUUUCAACUAGAGUUUCUGCAGAUUCUGUACUUUAUCGCUGAGUUUGGCAGCUUCUUCUUCGAUCUCUAGUUUUCUACGGUUUAGUAAAUAAAGUUGGCGACAUUUUAACGACUACAAGAACACCAUUCAAUAUUGAAAUCAUCUGUUGCAUGUUCGGUAAUAAUUCGUUGUUGUUCAAUUUUGUGUGGCGAUUCCGAAGAUCUGUGGUGUGAUUUGGACAGAGAAAUGAGAAUAAUUAUGCGAUUGAUUAGUAUACGUAUACGAUGAUAGCUGAAAUGCCUAUACUUGCUCGAGAUGGUAGCACGAUUGACGAGCAUCGCGAAGAAGAUGGUAGAUUUAUGAUAAUGUGAAAUGGGUUUAAAAGCGUGUACCGAUGUGUUGAACGAAGCUCACAUUUCGAUUCUUAUACUCGUGGAAAAAUAUUAUCGAAUAAUGAAAAAAUUUUGCUCGAAAAUGAUUUUUAGGUAGGUACCUAGCUAUAUGCAUAAGAGCUUCGCCGUAUCGACGCUGACGAUGGUUUUGAAGAUUCGACCCAAUAAAGCUACCUGGCGAUUUUCAUCGAGUUUUACAGAUGUAGGUGUAAUUUUUUAGUGAGGAAAUUAUCAACGUGAUCUGCGAUCGAAUUGAAAUUUGGAUCACUGGAAGAGUAUCGCAGAACCAAAUUUUCAGCUGUCGAAGUUGAUUUUUUGAUUUCUGGCGAAUUUUUGAAAAUGGCGGAAGUAGCCUAUUGGUGUAUUAAUUUUUUUUGAAAAGAUCAAACAUGGGAUAAAAAUCUAGAUCUCGGUUUAUCUUUAUUCAAGUCCACUCCCAGAAUUAAUUGCCAACUUUUUCCAACUGAUGGAUGAAUUUCAAAUCGUUUCAGAAGGCGUUUUUAAUCAACUUAGGCAGCUGAAAAUUCAAUCCGGUCAUAAGUUAGACACUUCAAAUUGACCAAGGAAGGUGGAUCACAAAUCCGAAGAAACGAAUUGAAAAUAGAAU